GCCAGCAUGGUGUAGUGGUUUGAGUGUUGGACUAUGACUCUAGAGACCAGAGUUUGAAUCCUGGCUUGGCC
RNAcentral lists this transfer RNA (71 nucleotides) under Phrynosoma platyrhinos (Desert horned lizard). RNAcentral describes it as "tRNA-OTHER". Lineage: Eukaryota; Metazoa; Chordata; Lepidosauria; Squamata; Phrynosomatidae. The record is from RNAcentral.